UUGAGCCGUGUGCAUUGAGAGGUGCACGCACGGUUCUGAGGGGGCCGGGAUGCAGCAAUGCAUCCCGGCUACCCGAC
RNAcentral lists this non-coding RNA (77 nucleotides) under Streptomyces yunnanensis. The record is from RNAcentral. Lineage: Bacteria; Bacillati; Actinomycetota; Actinomycetes; Kitasatosporales; Streptomycetaceae.